CCUACGGGGGGCAGCAGUGAGGAAUAUUGGUCAAUGGGCGCGAGCCUGAACCAGCCAAGUCGCGUGAGUGAAGACGGUCCUAUGGAUUGUAAACCUCUUUUGUCGGGGGGCAAAAGACGCCACGCGUGGCGUUCCGAGAGUACCCGAAGAAAAAGCAUCGGCUAACUCCGUGCCAGCAGCCGCGGUAAUACGGAGGAUGCGAGCUUUAUCCGGAUUGAUUGGGGUAAACGGGUGCGCAGGCGGAAGAGCAAGUCAGCGGUAAAAUUGAGAGGCUCAACCUCUUCGAGCCGUUGAAACUGGUUUUCUUGAGUGAGCGAGAAGUAUGCGGAAUGCGUGGUGUAGCGGUGAAAUGCAUAGAUAUCACGCAGAACUCCGAUUGCGAAGGCAGCACACCGGCGCUCAACUGACGCUCAUGCACGAAAGUGUGGGUAGCGAACAGGAUUAGAUACCCUAGUAGUC
Molecule: ribosomal RNA, 459 nt
Filed under: uncultured bacterium
Lineage: Bacteria
Description: partial 16S ribosomal RNA
Rfam family: Bacterial small subunit ribosomal RNA
Source: RNAcentral